GUGAAUCAUCGAAUCUUUGAACGCAAAUUGCGCUUCCUGGUAUCCCGGGAAGUAUGCCUGUUUGAGGGUCAGUAUUUAUAAAAAUCGGCGUGUUGCUUCUUUGUGACGCUCCGGAGUUUGGUUCAUCUUAAUAUCCUUUAGGUUUUAAGAGGCUUAAAAUUUAAUUUUUUUGUGCAUUUUAGCUGCACAUAAAUUCUUUUUUUUAUUCGUAUGUCUUAAUACUCAAAAUCCUAUUAUAUGCGACCAUAUC
Molecule: unclassified non-coding RNA, 250 nt
Filed under: Glomeraceae sp.
Lineage: Eukaryota; Fungi; Glomeromycota; Glomeromycetes; Glomerales; Glomeraceae
Description: partial contains 5.8S ribosomal RNA and internal transcribed spacer 2
Rfam family: 5.8S ribosomal RNA (bases 1-71)
Source: RNAcentral